AAACUAGGAUUAGAUACCCUAUUAUUAAAAAAUUAAAUAUAUAAUACUAAAAUAGUAAAUAAUUUAUUGAAACUUAAAUAAAUUGGCGGUAUUUUAGUUCAUUCAGAGGAAUCUGUUUAUUAAUUGAUAGUCCACGAAUAAAUUUACUUAAUUUAUUAUUUUGUAUAUCGUUGUUAAAAAAAUAUUUUUUAAUAAAAAUAAUAUUUAAAAAUUUUAAAAUAAAAUUAAAUCAGAUCAAGAUGCAGAUUAUAAUUAAGAAUAUAAUGGAUUACAAUAAAUUUAUUUAUUAAUGAAUAUUAAAUUGAAAUAUUUAAUUGAAGGUGGAUUUGAAUGUAAUUUUAUUUACAAUUAAUAAAAUGAUUAAUAAUUAAAAUAUGUACAUAUUGCCCGUCGCUUUCAAUAAAUAUAAAUGAAAUAAGUCGUAACAUAGUA
This 432-nucleotide ribosomal RNA is filed under the name Antheraea assamensis (Indian muga silkmoth). Its description in RNAcentral is "partial 12S ribosomal RNA". The record is from RNAcentral. Lineage: Eukaryota; Metazoa; Arthropoda; Insecta; Lepidoptera; Saturniidae.